Molecule: non-coding RNA, 58 nt
Organism: Salmo salar (Atlantic salmon)
Lineage: Eukaryota; Metazoa; Chordata; Actinopteri; Salmoniformes; Salmonidae
Source: Rfam
UGGCUCUGUUGGUAGAGCAUGGUGUUUGCAAUGCCAGGGUUGUGGGUUCGAUUCCCAC